RNAcentral lists this transfer RNA (77 nucleotides) under Candidatus Peregrinibacteria bacterium CG_4_9_14_3_um_filter_49_12. Its description in RNAcentral is "tRNA-Arg". It matches the Rfam family "tRNA". Rfam says of the family: Transfer RNA (tRNA) molecules are approximately 80 nucleotides in length. Their secondary structure includes four short double-helical elements and three loops (D, anti-codon, and T loops). The record is from RNAcentral. Lineage: Bacteria; Candidatus Peregrinibacteriota. RNAcentral also lists the same sequence under 2 other names.
GCGCCUGUAGCUCAGCUGGAUAGAGCGUCAGCUUCCGGAGCUGAAGGCCACAGGUUCGAAUCCUGUCAGGCGCACCA